GAUGAACGCUGGCGGCGUGCCUAAUACAUGCAAGUCGAGCGAACGGACGAGAAGCUUGCUUCUCUGAUGUUAGCGGCGGACGGGUGAGUAACACGUGGAUAACCUACCUAUAAGACUGGGAUAACUUCGGGAAACCGGAGCUAAUACCGGAUAAUAUUUUGAACCGCAUGGUUCAAAAGUGAAAGACGGUCUUGCUGUCACUUAUGGAUGGAUCCGCGCUGCAUUAGCUAGUUGGUAAGGUAACGGCUUACCAAGGCAACGAUGCAUAGCCGACCUGAGAGGGUGAUCGGCCACACUGGAACUGAGACACGGUCCAGACUCCUACGGGAGGCAGCAGUAGGGAAUCUUCCGCAAUGGGCGAAAGCCUGACGGAGCAACGCCGCGUGAGUGAUGAAGGUCUUCGGAUCGUAAAACUCUGUUAUUAGGGAAGAACAUAUGUGUAAGUAACUGUGCACAUCUUGACGGUACCUAAUCAGAAAGCCACGGCUAACUACGUGCCAGCAGCCGCGGUAAUACGUAGGUGGCAAGCGUUAUCCGGAAUUAUUGGGCGUAAAGCGCGCGUAGGCGGUUUUUUAGGUCUGAUGUGAAAGCCCACGGCUCAACCGUGGAGGGUCAUUGGAAACUGGAAAACUUGAGUGCAGAAGAGGAAAGUGGAAUUCCAUGUGUAGCGGUGAAAUGCGCAGAGAUAUGGAGGAACACCAGUGGCGAAGGCGACUUUCUGGUCUGUAACUGACGCUGAUGUGCGAAAGCGUGGGGAUCAAACAGGAUUAGAUACCCUGGUAGUCCACGCCGUAAACGAUGAGUGCUAAGUGUUAGGGGGUUUCCGCCCCUUAGUGCUGCAGCUAACGCAUUAAGCACUCCGCCUGGGGAGUACGACCGCAAGGUUGAAACUCAAAGGAAUUGACGGGGACCCGCACAAGCGGUGGAGCAUGUGGUUUAAUUCGAAGCAACGCGAAGAACCUUACCAAAUCUUGACAUCCUUUGACAACUCUAGAGAUAGAGCCUUCCCCUUCGGGGGACAAAGUGACAGGUGGUGCAUGGUUGUCGUCAGCUCGUGUCGUGAGAUGUUGGGUUAAGUCCCGCAACGAGCGCAACCCUUAAGCUUAGUUGCCAUCAUUAAGUUGGGCACUCUAAGUUGACUGCCGGUGACAAACCGGAGGAAGGUGGGGAUGACGUCAAAUCAUCAUGCCCCUUAUGAUUUGGGCUACACACGUGCUACAAUGGACAAUACAAAGGGCAGCGAAACCGCGAGGUCAAGCAAAUCCCAUAAAGUUGUUCUCAGUUCGGAUUGUAGUCUGCAACUCGACUACAUGAAGCUGGAAUCGCUAGUAAUCGUAGAUCAGCAUGCUACGGUGAAUACGUUCCCGGGUCU
RNAcentral lists this ribosomal RNA (1372 nucleotides) under uncultured bacterium. RNAcentral's name for it is "bacterial SSU rRNA". It matches the Rfam family "Bacterial small subunit ribosomal RNA", at positions 28 to 1381 of the family's 1533-position model. The record is from RNAcentral.